Molecule: small nuclear RNA, 25 nt
Filed under: Arabidopsis thaliana (thale cress)
Lineage: Eukaryota; Viridiplantae; Streptophyta; Magnoliopsida; Brassicales; Brassicaceae
Description: snRNA_13079
Source: RNAcentral
GCCCCCAUCGUCUAGUGGUUCAGGA